This 460-nucleotide ribosomal RNA is filed under the name uncultured bacterium. Its description in RNAcentral is "partial 16S ribosomal RNA". It matches the Rfam family "Bacterial small subunit ribosomal RNA", at positions 338 to 795 of the family's 1533-position model. The record is from RNAcentral.
CCUACGGGAGGCAGCAGUGAGGAAUAUUGGUCAAUGGGCGCGAGCCUGAACCAGCCAAGUAGCGUGAAGGAUGACUGCCCUACGGGUUGUAAACUUCUUUUAUAAAGGAAUAAAGUGAGGCACGUGUGCCUUUUUGUAGGUACUUUAUGAAUAAGGAUCGGCUAACUCCGUGCCAGCAGCCGCGGUAAUACGGAGGAUGCGAGCGUUAUCCGGAUUUAUUGGGUUUAAAGGGAGCGUAGAUGGGUUGUUAAGUCAGUUGUGAAAGGUUGCGGCUCAACCGUAAGAUGGCAAUGGAUACUGGCAGUCUUGAGUACAGUUGAGGUAGGCGGAAUGCGUGGUGUAGCGGUGAAAUGCUUAGAUAUCACGAAGAACUCCGAUUGCGAAGGCAGCCUACCAAACUGCCACUGACAUUGAGGCACGAAAGUGUGGGUAUCAAACAGGAUUAGAUACCCUGGUAGUC